GCCCGCCUAGCUCAAUUGGCCAGAGCGUCAGACUUUUACGGCCAGUGAAGUUGUCGGGCAAAGAGAAUCUGAAGGCUGCGGGUUCGACCCCCGCGGUGGGCU
This is a transfer RNA of Gloeophyllum trabeum ATCC 11539, 102 nucleotides long. It matches the Rfam family "tRNA". From Rfam's summary of the family: Transfer RNA (tRNA) molecules are approximately 80 nucleotides in length. Their secondary structure includes four short double-helical elements and three loops (D, anti-codon, and T loops). The record is from Rfam. NCBI's taxonomy places the organism in Eukaryota, Fungi, Basidiomycota, Agaricomycetes, Gloeophyllales, Gloeophyllaceae.